This is a long non-coding RNA of Neogale vison (American mink), 291 nucleotides long. RefSeq lists it as uncharacterized. The transcript has 3 exons. The record is from RefSeq and is a predicted model, not a curated record. NCBI's taxonomy places the organism in Eukaryota, Metazoa, Chordata, Mammalia, Carnivora, Mustelidae.
CCGGGUGCAGAAACAGACUUCAAGAAGGAGGAGAGCAGAAGGUAGCCGGCCAGAUUCCUGUGGUAUGUUCUCUCUUGGGUCCAGCUGCUUUGGCUCAGCAUCAUGUCCAUGAGGUCUAAACUUGAAACCAUUGGUCUGCCAAGUGGGGCAUGAGCCAUUCAGGAGGACGGCGUUUAAGUGGAAGUUCUACUCAUACCUGUAUUUUGUGUACAUUUUUAAAUGAAUGCAUUGUAUUAGUACCAUUGGAUAUGAAUAUAAUUUCUAAAUAAAGAUGUAUACUUAUUUUGGUGA